AAAUUGAAGAGUUUGAUCAUGGCUCAGAUUGAACGCUGGCGGCAGGCCUAACACAUGCAAGUCGAACGGUAACAGGAAGCAGCUUGCUGCUUUGCUGACGAGUGGCGGACGGGUGAGUAAUGUCUGGGAAACUGCCUGAUGGAGGGGGAUAACUACUGGAAACGGUAGCUAAUACCGCAUAACGUCGCAAGACCAAAGAGGGGGACCUUAGGGCCUCUUGCCAUCGGAUGUGCCCAGAUGGGAUUAGCUAGUAGGUGGGGUAAAGGCUCACCUAGGCGACGAUCCCUAGCUGGUCUGAGAGGAUGACCAGCCACACUGGAACUGAGACACGGUCCAGACUCCUACGGGAGGCAGCAGUGGGGAAUAUUGCACAAUGGGCGCAAGCCUGAUGCAGCCAUGCCGCGUGUAUGAAGAAGGCCUUCGGGUUGUAAAGUACUUUCAGCGGGGAGGAAGGGAGUAAAGUUAAUACCUUUGCUCAUUGACGUUACCCGCAGAAGAAGCACCGGCUAACUCCGUGCCAGCAGCCGCGGUAAUACGGAGGGUGCAAGCGUUAAUCGGAAUUACUGGGCGUAAAGCGCACGCAGGCGGUUUGUUAAGUCAGAUGUGAAAUCCCCGGGCUCAACCUGGGAACUGCAUCUGAUACUGGCAAGCUUGAGUCUCGUAGAGGGGGGUAGAAUUCCAGGUGUAGCGGUGAAAUGCGUAGAGAUCUGGAGGAAUACCGGUGGCGAAGGCGGCCCCCUGGACGAAGACUGACGCUCAGGUGCGAAAGCGUGGGGAGCAAACAGGAUUAGAUACCCUGGUAGUCCACGCCGUAAACGAUGUCGACUUGGAGGUUGUGCCCUUGAGGCGUGGCUUCCGGAGCUAACGCGUUAAGUCGACCGCCUGGGGAGUACGGCCGCAAGGUUAAAACUCAAAUGAAUUGACGGGGGCCCGCACAAGCGGUGGAGCAUGUGGUUUAAUUCGAUGCAACGCGAAGAACCUUACCUGGUCUUGACAUCCACAGAACUUUCCAGAGAUGGAUUGGUGCCUUCGGGAACUGUGAGACAGGUGCUGCAUGGCUGUCGUCAGCUCGUGUUGUGAAAUGUUGGGUUAAGUCCCGCAACGAGCGCAACCCUUAUCCUUUGUUGCCAGCGGUCCGGCCGGGAACUCAAAGGAGACUGCCAGUGAUAAACUGGAGGAAGGUGGGGAUGACGUCAAGUCAUCAUGGCCCUUACGACCAGGGCUACACACGUGCUACAAUGGCGCAUACAAAGAGAAGCGACCUCGCGAGAGCAAGCGGACCUCAUAAAGUGCGUCGUAGUCCGGAUUGGAGUCUGCAACUCGACUCCAUGAAGUCGGAAUCGCUAGUAAUCGUGGAUCAGAAUGCCACGGUGAAUACGUUCCCGGGCCUUGUACACACCGCCCGUCACACCAUGGGAGUGGGUUGCAAAAGAAGUAGGUAGCUUAACCUUCGGGAGGGCGCUUACCACUUUGUGAUUCAUGACUGGGGUGAAGUCGUAACAAGGUAACCGUAGGGGAACCUGCGGUUGGAUCACCUCCUUA
Molecule: ribosomal RNA, 1542 nt
Filed under: Escherichia coli
Lineage: Bacteria; Pseudomonadati; Pseudomonadota; Gammaproteobacteria; Enterobacterales; Enterobacteriaceae
Description: bacterial SSU rRNA
Rfam family: Bacterial small subunit ribosomal RNA
Source: RNAcentral